AGGACGAACGCUGGCGGCGUGCUUAACACAUGCAAGUCGAACGGUGACCCUCGGAGCUUGCUCUGGGGUGAUCAGUGGCGAACGGGUGAGUAACACGUGAGUAACCUGCCCCAGACUCUGGGAUAACACCGGGAAACCGGUGCUAAUACCGGAUACGACACGAAGAGGCAUCUCUAUCGUGUGGAAAGAAUUUCGGUCUGGGAUGGACUCGCGGCCUAUCAGCUUGUUGGUGAGGUAAUAGCUCACCAAGGCGACGACGGGUA
This 263-nucleotide ribosomal RNA is filed under the name uncultured bacterium. Its description in RNAcentral is "partial small subunit ribosomal RNA". It matches the Rfam family "Bacterial small subunit ribosomal RNA", at positions 26 to 285 of the family's 1533-position model. The record is from RNAcentral.